GAGCAAUCCGAGUAGAGCGGCGCACGGGUGCGUAACACGUGGAUAAUCUGCCCUUGAAUUCGGGAUAACCUUCCGAAAGGUUGGCUAAUACCGGGUAAGCUCACGGUGACUUCGGUCGCUGUGGGAAAAGUAGACCUCUGUUUACAAGUUUACGUUUGAGGAUGAGUCCGCGGCCCAUCAGCUAGUUGGCGGGGUAAUGGCCCACCAAGGCUACGACGGGUAGCUGGUCUGAGAGGACGAUCAGCCACACUGGAACUGAGACACGGUCCAGACUCCUACGGGAGGCAGCAGUGGGGAAUUUUCCACAAUGGGCGAAAGCCUGAUGGAGCAACGCCGCGUGUGUGAUGAAGGUCUUAGGAUCGUAAAGCACUUUCGACCGGGACGAAAAACCUCUGGCUAACAUCCAGGGGCCUGACGGUACCGGGAGAAGAAGCACCGGCUAACUCUGUGCCAGCAGCCGCGGUAAUACAGAGGGUGCAAGCGUUGUUCGGAAUUAUUGGGCGUAAAGCGCGUGUAGGCGGCUUGGCAAGUCAGAUGUGAAAGCCCAUGGCUUAACCAUGGAAGUGCGUCUGAAACUGCUGAGCUUGAGUGCCGGAGAGGAUGGCGGAAUUCCGCAAGUAGAGGUGAAAUUCGUAGAUAUGCGGAGGAACACCGGUGGCGAAGGCGGCCAUCUGGACGGCAACUGACGCUGAGACGCGAAAGCGUGGGGAGCAAACAGGAUUAGAUACCCUGGUANUCCACGCUGUAAACGAUGAGAACUAGNUGUCGUGGGUGUUGACCCCCGCGGNGCCGUANCUAACGCAUUAAGUUCUCCGCCUGGGGNNUANGGUCGCAAGNCUGAAACUCAANG
RNAcentral lists this ribosomal RNA (850 nucleotides) under uncultured bacterium. RNAcentral describes it as "bacterial SSU rRNA". It matches the Rfam family "Bacterial small subunit ribosomal RNA", at positions 77 to 906 of the family's 1533-position model. The record is from RNAcentral.